This 581-nucleotide ribosomal RNA is filed under the name uncultured fungus. Its description in RNAcentral is "eukaryotic LSU rRNA". The stretch from base 224 to 374 matches the Rfam family "5.8S ribosomal RNA". The record is from RNAcentral. Lineage: Eukaryota; Fungi.
CUUGGUCAUUUAGAGGAGUAAAAGUCGUAACAAGGUCUCCGUAGGUGAACCUGCGGAGGGAUCAUACAGAGAAACUCGCCCGCAAGGGUGACUCUCCAACCCUAUGUUAAUUAUCAUUUGUUGCUUUGGCGAGCCGCUUCGGCCACCGGCUCACGCUGGUGAGGCUCGCCAGAGAACCCUAAACUCUGUUUAAUAAUGUCGUCUGAGUACUAAUAAUAGUUAAAACUUUCAACAACGGAUCUCUUGGUUCUGGCAUCGAUGAGAACGCAGCGAAAUGCGAUAAGUAAUGUGAAUUGCAGAAUUCAGUGAACAUCGAAUCUUUGAACGCACAUUGCGCCCUGUGGUACUCCGCAGGGCAUCCUGUUCGAGCGUCAGUACAACACUCAAGCCUAGCUUGGUCUUGGGCCUGCCGGAAACGGCGGGACCUUAAAAUCAGUGGCGGCGCCUGUUAGGCCCUAGCGUAGUAAUACUCCUCGCUACAGGGACCCGGCAGACGCUGGCCAGCACCCCCAACUUUCUAAGUUUGACCUCGGAUCAGGUAGGGAUACCCGCUGACUUAAGCAUAUCAAUAAGCGGAGGAA